AGCGUACACGGUGGAUGCCCUGGCAGUCAGAGGCGAUGAAGGACGUGCUAAUCUGCGAAAAGCGUCGGUAAGGUGAUAUGAACCGUUACAGCCGGCGAUGUCCGAAUGGGGAAACCCAGUGUGAUUCGUCACACUAUCGUUAACUGAAUACAUAGGUUAACGAGGCGAACCGGGGGAACUGAAACAUCUAAGUACCCCGAGGAAAAGAAAUCAACCGAGAUUCCCCCAGUAGCGGCGAGCGAACGGGGAGCAGCCCAGAGUCUGAAUCAGCUUGUGUGUUAGUGGAACGGUCUGGAAAGUCCGACGGUACAGGGUGAUAGUCCCGUACACCAAAAUGCACAGGCUGUGAACUCGAAGAGUAGGGCGGGACACGUGGUAUCCUGUCUGAAUAUGGGGGGACCAUCCUCCAAGGCUAAAUACUCCUGACUGACCGAUAGUGAACCAGUACCGUGAGGGAAAGGCGAAAAGAACCCCGGCGAGGGGAGUGAAAAAGAACCUGAAACCGUGUACGUACAAGCAGUGGGAGCACCUUCGGGUGUGACUGCGUACCUUUUGUAUAAUGGGUCAGCGACUUAUAUUCUGUAGCAAGGUUAACCGUAUAGGGGAGCCGCAGGGAAACCGAGUCUUAACUGGGCGUUAAGUUGCAGGGUAUAGACCCGAAACCCGGUGAUCUAGCCAUGGGCAGGUUGAAGGUUGGGUAACACUAACUGGAGGACCGAACCGACUAAUGUUGAAAAAUUAGCGGAUGACUUGUGGCUGGGGGUGAAAGGCCAAUCAAACCGGGAGAUAGCUGGUUCUCCCCGAAAGCUAUUUAGGUAGCGCCUCGUGAACUCAUCUUCGGGGGUAGAGCACUGUUUCGGCUAGGGGGUCAUCCCGACUUACCAACCCGAUGCAAACUACGAAUACCGAAGAAUGUUAUCACGGGAGACACACGGCGGGUGCUAACGUCCGUCGUGAAGAGGGAAACAACCCAGACCGCCAGCUAAGGUCCCAAAGUCACAGUUAAGUGGGAAACGAUGUGGGAAGGCACAGACAGCCAGGAUGUUGGCUUAGAAGCAGCCAUCAUUUAAAGAAAGCGUAAUAGCUCACUGGUCGAGUCGGCCUGCGCGGAAGAUGUAACGGGGCUAAACUGUGCACCGAAGCUGCGGCAGCGACACUAUGUGUUGUUGGGUAGGGGAGCGUUCUGUAAGCCUGCGAAGGUGGCCUGUGAGGGUUGCUGGAGGUAUCAGAAGUGCGAAUGCUGACAUAAGUAACGAUAAUGCGGGUGAAAAGCCCGCACGCCGGAAGACCAAGGGUUCCUGUCCAACGUUAAUCGGGGCAGGGUGAGUCGACCCCUAAGGCGAGGCCGAAAGGCGUAGUCGAUGGGAAACAGGUUAAUAUUCCUGUACUUGGUGUUACUGCGAAGGGGGGACGGAGAAGGCUAUGUUAGCCGGGCGACGGUUGUCCCGGUUUAAGCAUGUAGGCGGAGGUUCCAGGUAAAUCCGGUACCUUUUAACGCUGAGGUGUGAUGACGAGGCACUACGGUGCUGAAGUAACAAAUGCCCUGCUUCCAGGAAAAGCCUCUAAGCAUCAGGUAACAUUGAAUCGUACCCCAAACCGACACAGGUGGUCAGGUAGAGAAUACCAAGGCGCUUGAGAGAACUCGGGUGAAGGAACUAGGCAAAAUGGUGCCGUAACUUCGGGAGAAGGCACGCUGAUAUGUAGGUGAAGCCCCUGCGGGUGGAGCUGAAAUCAGUCGAAGAUACCAGCUGGCUGCAACUGUUUAUUAAAAACACAGCACUGUGCAAACACGAAAGUGGACGUAUACGGUGUGACGCCUGCCCGGUGCCGGAAGGUUAAUUGAUGGGGUUAUCCGUAAGGAGAAGCUCUUGAUCGAAGCCCCGGUAAACGGCGGCCGUAACUAUAACGGUCCUAAGGUAGCGAAAUUCCUUGUCGGGUAAGUUCCGACCUGCACGAAUGGCGUAAUGAUGGCCAGGCUGUCUCCACCCGAGACUCAGUGAAAUUGAACUCGCUGUGAAGAUGCAGUGUACCCGCGGCAAGACGGAAAGACCCCGUGAACCUUUACUAUAGCUUGACACUGAACAUUGAGCCUUGAUGUGUAGGAUAGGUGGGAGGCUUUGAAGCGUGGACGCCAGUCUGCGUGGAGCCAACCUUGAAAUACCACCCUUUAAUGUUUGAUGUUCUAACGUUGGCCCCUAAUCGGGGUUGCGGACAGUGUCUGGUGGGUAGUUUGACUGGGGCGGUCUCCUCCCAAAGAGUAACGGAGGAGCACGAAGGUUAGCUAAUCCUGGUCGGACAUCAGGAGGUUAGUGCAAUGGCAUAAGCUAGCUUGACUGCGAGCGUGACGGCGCGAGCAGGUGCGAAAGCAGGUCAUAGUGAUCCGGUGGUUCUGAAUGGAAGGGCCAUCGCUCAACGGAUAAAAGGUACUCCGGGGAUAACAGGCUGAUACCGCCCAAGAGUUCAUAUCGACGGCGGUGUUUGGCACCUCGAUGUCGGCUCAUCACAUCCUGGGGCUGAAGUAGGUCCCAAGGGUAUGGCUGUUCGCCAUUUAAAGUGGUACGCGAGCUGGGUUUAGAACGUCGUGAGACAGUUCGGUCCCUAUCUGCCGUGGGCGCUGGAGAAUUGAGGGGGGCUGCUCCUAGUACGAGAGGACCGGAGUGGACGCAUCACUGGUGUUCGGGUUGUCAUGCCAAUGGCAUUGCCCGGUAGCUAAAUGCGGAAGAGAUAAGUGCUGAAAGCAUCUAAGCACGAAACUUGCCCCGAGAUGAGUUCU
This 2773-nucleotide ribosomal RNA is filed under the name Klebsiella aerogenes. Its description in RNAcentral is "bacterial LSU rRNA". It matches the Rfam family "Bacterial large subunit ribosomal RNA". The record is from RNAcentral. Lineage: Bacteria; Pseudomonadati; Pseudomonadota; Gammaproteobacteria; Enterobacterales; Enterobacteriaceae.